Molecule: long non-coding RNA, 731 nt
Filed under: Struthio camelus australis
Lineage: Eukaryota; Metazoa; Chordata; Aves; Struthioniformes; Struthionidae
Description: lncRNA (ENSSCUG00000010577.1)
Source: RNAcentral
GCAAGAGUUCCUUUAAUUGAAGCAUUUACUAUAGAUCAAGGCAAAAAAUAUGGAACAUUAAAGGAAAACCAAAAUAUAGGGGAACUGAUACAUAUUGGACAUUUGGUUUUGGUUUGUUCAUUGUGAACAGCGUUACUGCAUGCACAAUUUUUCUUUUAUAUCUCAUUUUGCUUAGGAAGUGAUAUAACUCUUCUCUUUUUUUUACUUUUUCCUAACAGUUUGUGUAGUUUCCAGUGUUGGCUUUAAGUUUCAAUAUUGCAGAUAAGAAUGAUUGCCUGCAGGAAAAAUGAAAUGUGGCUGCCUCAUUUGAUACAUAUCAUAGCCUAAUUCACACUCAUCUGGAUCCCUGUGCUGUAGGAUUAUUUUCCAGUAUGAAACUUGGAGAAAUGAGAGGACACAGCCUCUGCACAACUCCAAUGGGGUGACCAUACAUAAAGGGAUGGCCCAUAAAACCUCAGCUCUGCUCACAGCUCCUGUAUCAACCCUAAAAUCAGGCCUGGGACCCUUUACCAAGCUGCCUGCAUGCAGGUUGUUGCUCACUCUGCAAGAGAAGUAAAGAGAAAACAACAUUUUAGGACUGUAGGAGAAGAAGGUGGAAAAGUAAGUAGAAAAUCUCUUUGCAAAUACAUUUGAAACUGCUAACACCUAAUUGCUAAUUAGGAAAAGUUGGCAGGAAAAAAGGUGUUGUGAAGUUUGGGCAAAACAAAAUAUAGCAAAGAAAUCCCAGUUAA